CCCUUAGAUGUUCUGGGCCGCACGCGCGCUACACUGAUGCAUUCAACGAGUUUCUUCCUGGUCCGAGAGGAAUGGGUAACCUUUUGAAAGUGCAUCGUGAUAGGGAUAGACUAUUGCAAUUAUUGGUCUUCAACGAGGAAUUCCUAGUAGACGUAGUUCAUCAGACUGCAUCGAUUACGUCCCUGCCCUUUGUACACACCGCCCGUCGCUCCUACCGAUUGAAUGCUCAGGUGAGCCAUUCGCACUUUCAUCAUGCUGGUUUCCAGUUUUGAUGAAGGAAAGUCUUGCGAACCUUAUCAUUUAGAGGAAGGAGAAGUCGUAACA
RNAcentral lists this ribosomal RNA (324 nucleotides) under uncultured eukaryote. RNAcentral describes it as "partial 18S ribosomal RNA". It matches the Rfam family "Eukaryotic small subunit ribosomal RNA", at positions 1470 to 1796 of the family's 1831-position model. The record is from RNAcentral.